CCUUCGGGUUGUAAAGCUCUUUUGUCAGGAACGAAACGGUCCGAUCUAAUACAUUGGGCUAAUGACGGUACCUGAAGAAUAAGCACCGGCUAACUACGUGC
This 101-nucleotide ribosomal RNA is filed under the name uncultured bacterium. RNAcentral describes it as "partial 16S ribosomal RNA". The record is from RNAcentral.